RNAcentral lists this long non-coding RNA (345 nucleotides) under Marmota monax (woodchuck). Lineage: Eukaryota; Metazoa; Chordata; Mammalia; Rodentia; Sciuridae. The record is from RNAcentral.
UGAUGUUAUAGAAUUAUUCCUCAUGACUCUGGAAUAAUGAAUUCUCUGAGCCUGGGGUGUCCUUCAGCUCUGCAAUCUACCUUCUCAUUGGCUAACUAUCCUUAUAGAAGUUAGGAUGAGCCCAAGGGACCCUGGGUCAGAUAGCCAUGGCAACAGGCUGCUCCAACUUUCUCUUCUUCUCUGCCCUCCUCUAGCUGAGAGGCCUGGUAGCAUUGCCCAAGACUCCCUGGAGUGGCUGGAAGUGUUCCUGCCGAGGAGGCACUCCACAGUGUGGGCUCUGUGAGGCUGAGGUGGUGGUCGGUUGCAGUGAGUGUGGGGAUCCUGGGGGCCACACAAAAACAAAGC